Nelumbo nucifera (sacred lotus) is the source of this 46-nucleotide non-coding RNA. The record is from Rfam. NCBI's taxonomy places the organism in Eukaryota, Viridiplantae, Streptophyta, Magnoliopsida, Proteales, Nelumbonaceae.
AACUAGGUGCCAUUAGGCACCACAUCAGCAAUACAAUAGAUAAACG